This 223-nucleotide long non-coding RNA is filed under the name Nicotiana benthamiana. RNAcentral's name for it is "long non-coding RNA (NBEN_LNC000689)". The record is from RNAcentral. Lineage: Eukaryota; Viridiplantae; Streptophyta; Magnoliopsida; Solanales; Solanaceae.
UCUUUAGAUAGUGCAUACAAUAUACUUCUUCAAGAUGAGAGGCAAAGACAGGUCACCCACUUCCCUUCUCAAUUCCAUACUGAUUCAAGUGCUUUUAGCACUCAAUUCAUGAAGAAACCCUAUGGCACAUACUCAAACCCAAAACAGUUCACUCAGAAAGUUAGGUUUGAUGGUAACAAAACAGACCUAGUGUGUAGAUAUUGCAAGAAGCCAGGCCAUUCAA